Molecule: ribosomal RNA, 116 nt
Filed under: Pteropus alecto (black flying fox)
Lineage: Eukaryota; Metazoa; Chordata; Mammalia; Chiroptera; Pteropodidae
Source: RNAcentral
GUCUACGGCCAUACCACCCUGAACAAGCCCGAUGUCUGAUCUCAGAAGCUAAGCAGGGUCGGGCCUGGUUAGUACUUGGAUGGGAGACCACCUAGGAAGACCAGGUGCUAUAGGCA